AUGAGGAUUGUAAGCUGGAACUGCCGGGGACUCGGGAACGGCCCGGCAGUUCGUGGCCUCUUGGACCUCAAGAGGGUGGAGGAUCCCGAUGUUCUGUUCUUGUGUGAGACGAAGUUGUUGGAGAAGGAGUUGGAGCAGUAUUGGUGGAAGCUUGGACUGGCAAACAUGUGUGCAAAAAACUCAUAG
This 186-nucleotide ribosomal RNA is filed under the name Triticum aestivum (bread wheat). RNAcentral's name for it is "partial small subunit ribosomal RNA". Lineage: Eukaryota; Viridiplantae; Streptophyta; Magnoliopsida; Poales; Poaceae. The record is from RNAcentral.